UGUUAAAAAUUUCAUUCACGUCUACUAUUAAAAACUAACAUGAUUGAUAGAAUAACCAAACAAUGAGAUGAGGUAUGCCACAUGUACCUAAUGCUAACAUAUAAGAAUCAAUUUUUAACAGUAAAAAUGGAUAAAAUUAUUAACG
This is a microRNA precursor of Gossypium arboreum, 145 nucleotides long. It matches the Rfam family "MIR7502 microRNA precursor family". Lineage: Eukaryota; Viridiplantae; Streptophyta; Magnoliopsida; Malvales; Malvaceae. The record is from Rfam.